Suncus etruscus (white-toothed pygmy shrew) is the source of this 706-nucleotide long non-coding RNA. RefSeq lists it as uncharacterized. The record is from RefSeq and is a predicted model, not a curated record. Lineage: Eukaryota; Metazoa; Chordata; Mammalia; Eulipotyphla; Soricidae. The transcript has 2 exons.
CCAGACUCACUUGGAACAUUUGGGCUUUAAUUUGCUAGCAGCCACGUGCAGCAUUAGCUCCCAAUGCCCCUUCACCUCUGUUAACGUGAGUGGUCAUCCAGCCUGUGUGUGGGAAGCACAAAUGCAGAUGGGAUGUGCAGGCAGGAUGCAGACGGGCAGGACUCACACAUGUAGAAUGCUGGCAGGACACACCAGGCACGCUCAUACAGGCAGGGCACACACACAGGACACGCAUAUGCAGAAUGCUGGCAGUAUGCUCGAAGUUUGCAGCGACACUGAGGCAGAAUUCUCACACAGGCAGGACCCAUACAUACCGGACAAGGGCGCCUACCAGUGCAGCUGCAGGAAACAAAAACUCCCGAGGAGGCUUUCCCUUUGAGCUGUCACACCGGACACACUUUCAAGGGGUGAAAGACUACAGAUCCUCAAUGCCUACGAACAGGACACCGGCUCUGCAUGAAAACAAUUGGCUGCAGGGGCACUACACGGACUACAGCCAGGAUUGAGCUUGGGUACCCCAAAAGAUCCAGGCUGGAAAAUAUAUGUCUCACAUGCGUGCACGGAGAGGCUGCCAGGACAGAGAGAUGACAGUCACCACAGGCUCCUGUUUCCCUCAGGGCUGCACCUCACAGCCUCCAGGACUGGGUGAUGAGGCCGGUGAGUGCUAGCAGAGGAGUGGAUGGAACAUCAGAAUAAAGUGGCCUUU